CUUUUUUUAAUGUCUGCUGUUAAUAAAAUAUUUUUACAGAGACAAAAAGUCAGAAUAGUGCAAAACAUCUCAACACCAUGCAUUCAUGACCACUUCUCGUUUGUGUUAAACAUUUGUUCCAAGUCACAUAUUUACAGAGAAAUGAAGGCGUCUGUGCAGACACUGGACCGACAGGGUAGAAUCAAAACAAAACAAAAAACAAACAACGUUUUGAUUUCACAUCUGCAAUCACAUGCUAAGAGUUGUGUGGAGGGGAAGCCUCCCCGGACUGCUUGGCCGGUUUGCGGGGGUCUGAGGGAGCACGAGACAGGGGUGGACAGGGGUCAAGUCCCCCUGGCUGUGUGGUUGGGGAUGAUCAGGGGACCCUCCGCCUGUGACCUGUGUCUCCAGAGAGCCACUAUGGCUGGACGGGGGUAAGGGGUGGGGUGUUACUUGACACAGUCAACUUGAUUUUUCUCUGAAAACAAUAAAAGGCAAAGAGAAAAGCAACACGUGUCAGCAAAGACAACUUUGGUCCUCAACGAUUCUUAGGAAAGGAUUCUGGGGAGCAGAUGGGGUAGGGGUAGGGGACAGAAAGGCUCUGAGAUCCCAGCCGAGAGAGGUCCCAAGGAUUUCUAGUUGGGUGUUUAGUUUUUUGCAUCUCUGAUGGGGGCAUGGUGAGGUCUCAGGCUCUGGGGCCUGAGAGAGGAAUUGGGGGUGUGGACAGGCACCUCCUCAUUUUAUGCAAAUCAUUCGAGGACAGACUGGUAAGAGUGAACAGAUCCUUCUUUCUUCAGGACACCCUCUUUACUUCCCCCGACACCCCCUGCCUUGGUCUCUGCAUUUACCUUUCUCUGUAUAUUUCCACCUCCAUGUCUCUCUCCAUCUCUGUCUCUCUCCGUCCUCAUCGGGGCGUGAUCUCACCCUCUGUCUCUGUAUUUUCUACUCUAUUCCUCUUGGUCAGGGGACUUUGACUCUGAGGCAUCCCUCAAUGUCACCCCUUUAACGCUUGCCCUGCCACAGGCCAACCCUCUUGUGCUGUUUCCCUGAUUCAUGGAAAUGUGGGGCCAGCUCCUUGCAUAAAGCGAGGUCCAGGGUUCAGAACCCUGGAGGUGUCAUCCAAGGCUGGGCUCUGUGUCCACUUGCUGGGUGGCGUUGGGGAAAGCCCUGCUCCUCUCUGGGCUUUGUUCUGCCAAUACAGGAACUUCCUGAUUUCAAAAGGCUUUCAGCCCCCUGGACUCCUUGUCUUUUCUCUGUCCGUGUCUCAGCCAUGUCCACUCUCUGUCCCAUGUGUCAGGCUCAGACACCUCCUAUGUGCCCAGGUCCGUGUGGAAGGGGAAGGUUGGUACGGACAGACAUGGACAGACAUGCAUGCGGAUGUGUAUUCUCACACUGACCCUGCCCCAAUACAUAAUUCCACUAGGCGUAGACUCCCUGUCACCCACUUGUGCCCAGCCUGUGCUAGGUAAAGUUGGGGGUCCUGAGAGUCCUCAGACCCCAGUCUGAGACUGAGAAACAGAGCUGGACAGAGAAACCCCCAGUCCCAUGGCAUCAGGCUGGACUGGAGGAGAGACGGUGGCUGGGAAAGUCCUGAGGGGAAGGAAGGAGGGUUUUCUCCAAGAGGGGUUUCCGUGAUGGGUUUUGAAGGACGAAUAGGAGUUCUCUGGGGGAAAGAAAAGAGGGUGGAAAUUGCAAAAACAGUUCUAGCCUGGGAGUCAGGAAAACUCAUUCAACAAAUAUUCCCUGAAGAAGCUUGUUUCCUUCACAUGCCUGGGCCAUUGCUGGGGAACCCUAAACACACACACACACACACGGAGGUCUUGACCAGAAAGACUCCUAAGGAAACUUUUGGGAAAUAUCUUGGCUCUCUCAGGCAGCUUGACUUCCCCAUUUCUUUCCAGCCAUCCAAAAAUCUUCCAGAUCACCCUCACCCCAGGUCACAGAUCACUUCCCCUUUGGGCUCUAUGGGUUACAACCCUGAAUCAUCCAUCCACCCGGCCCCUACCCUCAGCCAUGUCAUGGUUCGAAAUUCACAUCUCCUCCUCAGUCCAUAUAACAGUCACAUAAGCUUAUCCCUGGCUACAACUUCCCAACCCUGUAUGAGAAUUUGCAUUUUAACCUUUGGUUCAGAACCUCCAGUUACCUGCACCUGUCUGAAUUUAAGGGACAUGCAACAUCUCCAAGCAAAUUAGAAAGUGGCGCCACUUCUUCCAGACACUUGGGCCAUUCACAUGUCGGGAAACCAACGUCACAAACAUACAACACUCAAUAUCUAGGAUUUGCACGUGGCCUUCUUAGCAAUGCCAAACCCUUGGGCACUGUGCAACUGGGACAACUGUACUCAGCAGCCCUGGAGCUCAUCUAAGGGCAGGAUUUUUUUUUUUUUUUUUUGGUGAGGUAGAGGGGAGGGAAUGGAGUAUUGUUCUGUUGCCCAGGCUGGAGUGCAGUUGUGUGAUCACGACUCACUACAACCUCUGCCUCCAGGGUUCAAGCAAUUCUCCCGCCUCAGUCUCCUGAGUAGCUGGGACUACAGGCACGCACCACUGCACCCAGCUAAUUUUUGUAUUUUUAGCAGAGAUGGGGUUUCGCCAUGUUGGCCAGGCUGGUCUCAAACUCCUGACCUUAAGUGAUCUGCCAGCCUCGGUCUCCCCAAAUGCUGGGAUUAUAGUCAUGUCCCCACAGCUAUAGGUGUCUUUUCAACACAGCCUUCAGAAUCUUUCCAAGAAUCCAUUUCAGUGUCCCCAAAGCACCUCCACCUCUCCUCACUGGUUUUAGUCUUCACAAAACAGCUUUGCAGGCUGGAAUCCAGUCUCUCCCCAACUUAAAACAGCUCCUGGAGCUCCCCAACUGUCUUAGAAUAAAAGUAAAACUCCUCAGGACUGCGUAGGAGGCCCUGCCUGGUCUGAUGCUUCUGCGGAUCUCCCCAACCCCAAGGCUCCUCACGAUCCCCCUUGCUGGCUCAGCUCCAGCCGUGCCACCCGUCUGGUUGUUUCAACAGUUCUUCUCUCCUGGCCUUCGCACGUGCUGUUCCCCAGGCCUGGAGCUCUUUUCUCUCUAGUAAGUGGAUC
Molecule: long non-coding RNA, 3047 nt
Filed under: Pan troglodytes (chimpanzee)
Lineage: Eukaryota; Metazoa; Chordata; Mammalia; Primates; Hominidae
Description: long non-coding RNA NONPTRT008021
Source: RNAcentral